Hordeum vulgare subsp. vulgare (domesticated barley) is the source of this 125-nucleotide non-coding RNA. Lineage: Eukaryota; Viridiplantae; Streptophyta; Magnoliopsida; Poales; Poaceae. The record is from Rfam.
AAAAAACUUCCUCCAUCCGGAAAUACUUGUCAUAUGAAUGAAUGUGUCUGGAUAUUUUUUAGUUCUAGAUACAUUCAUUUUAAAACAUUUGUGCGACAAUUAAUUCCGGACGGAGGGAGUAUACG